Molecule: long non-coding RNA, 2798 nt
Filed under: Cicer arietinum (chickpea)
Lineage: Eukaryota; Viridiplantae; Streptophyta; Magnoliopsida; Fabales; Fabaceae
Description: long non-coding RNA (CARI_LNC002217)
Source: RNAcentral
GGAAUUAUUAUAAAAUGAUGACUACACAUACAUUAUCCCUGCAUGCAUCUCUCUCAUUUUCUGGGUCUUGGUUACAUUAAUUGCUUGACAUGUAUCUAUCUACAUCCAUAUUGAUGACAUCCAAUUAAUUUAUAUAAAUUGAUUUGAGGAAUAGACUUAGACUAUAAAAAUAAUAAAAGCAAAUAUAUAUAUAUAUAUACAAAGCUAGCUGUAACCUUCUAUAUGAUGGCAAUGCUGUUCAAUAGCUAUCAAAAUGUCAUCAUACAGAACAAAAUUAAGAGACACAUAGACAGAACAAGUGCAUAUGGUCACUAUUAACAUCUUAAGAAAGAUGGAAAGAAAAUAAAAAGAAUAGCUAGUUUAGUGAAAGGAUGCAAGACAGCAUAUGGGCCACAUAGCAAACUGAGCCCAUUAAGGGAGUUGUGAAAUGGAGAUAGAUAGCAACUUAAGAGGCCUUAGCCCAUUCCAGUGGGACACCUACCACUCAACCGACAUUGAAAGUCACUCAUUUGAAGCUGAAUUUUACAUUGUGCUCUAUAUAGAUGGGAAUGAAACGGAAUCCAGCUCUUCAGUCAUAUAUUUCUGUCGACUCAUUAGGAUCAGACGAUUCAGAUUUUAAAAUUGUAUUUUAGAUGUAGUAAAAACAAUAAAAUCUUUUAGAAUUUAAAUCGUUCAAUCUUAAUGAGAUGACUAUAAAUGUACCAACUACAUAAGUUCAUGCAAUCCCAAUCCAAAAUGGGACCUAGCUAAUAGGUUGUUAAGAGGUAACCACUAACUAGCUCCUGAAGAAGUGGACAAUGUAUUGUAGUGUGGUAAUGGGUCAAAAUUCUAUAUUAUGAGCCCACAUUUCUUAGACAUGCUUUUGGCAAUGGUUAAGACCAGCUUUCAGAAGGCCCACUUUUUGGACCUUAGUGGGUUCCUACCACUGCUUAGUGAGCAUGUUGAAUAGUAAUGGCAAAAUGGGUAUGUAGGUGUUGUAUAGGUUAGAUAUAGAACCAACAUAGAUAGGGACAUGUCCUUUUGGCAAAUGGAGCUCAACUCAACAGGGUAGAUGAAUCCAUCAACAUCUUUGGUCCAUCAAGUCACGCCUACUCUGUAGCAGGUAACAUGUUUUUGAGACAUAACUCAUUGGCAAGUGAAUGUGUGUGCCAAUGUCAUGCCAUCAGUCAUGUGGUAAUCGCUAUUCAGUUAGGUAGCUCAACUGAUAUGACCUAAUGGUUGAAAGAAUUUGAAGAGUUAAACGAUCACAGUUCAAAUUCCGGUGAAUGAAAAAAUACUAACGUAAUAACUAAUAUACUAAGGUCUAUCCUCAGCUGAUAAAAAUAAAAGUUCACACGUCAAUGAUAAAUUUAUGGAACAUGUAAAGGCUGUAUUAUAUAGCUUAUGGUACAGUGAUGCAUAGAUAACAACAAAAGGCCUAGAGUUAGUUAACUGACAAUAUUUUUCUGGCCUAAUGGAGCACAAUUUAAGAGCCCAAUGUUGGAAACCCUUUAUGUAACUGUUCAAAGUUCAAUGUAUUUUGAGACAUGUGGCUUUUGAUUCCAAUGUACAUGGACCAGGCCAACUGUGCAUAACCUAAAUCUGCACCUGAAAAUUAACUUCCGUGACAGAUAUCAAGUGUUGCUACUUUGGACCGCAACUAAGGAUCAGUCACCACCAAAUUAAUACCAAUGCACUGCAUCAGAAUCUAAGAAAGUAACAAAACAAGUUAUUUAUGCAUAGCAAUAGUUUAGAACUUAUCCAUAGAAACAUUUUUCAACACAGAAUAUAAUGUGCUGCCAAUUGCCAUGUUUAUUUAAGGAAGAAAAAAAGGUAGAAUAUCAGCUUUUUUUUAGUUUAACUUUCAAACCAAGUUAAUGGUCCUACAAAAUGAAUGUUCUAAAUUUCAUAUUGCAACUCAUAGAUUCAUGUUGGUUUCUUGUGAGACAUAAGAAACUAUUUGCUGUUCUAGAGUCUAAACUCAGAACUUUGAGCCUUGUGCAUGUAGAAAAUAAAUCUUGGUCUUCUCUUUCCCAUCCAAAUUAAACAGCAUAAAAUUUCAAAAUUUCCUACAUUUCCCCUCAAAUCUAUAACAUCCAAUUAUCUUUCACAUUAAUGGCCUAGAAAACAACUGAAAUUAUGACAUUCUUGGGAGUGCACUGAGAUAUUUCACGUUGUUGUUCUUAUGACCUGAAAACAACUGCAAAUUUGUUCAAUUUACAAAUUUACAGUUUGCCCAAAAAUUUGGCAUGAAAGCCUACAAUCAAAAUUUUGAUCCAGAUGAAAUCACUGCUUGGAAAUCACAUAUUUAUUUAUCAAUAUAUAUUUGGCACUUCAAAUAUAAUUUUAUACUAAAGAAAUGAAGCAGCAUGAUUCUAAUUAAGAGGUCAAUUUCAUCCAUGCAUACUUGUUAAAAAAAUAAUGAAGGGAAAUCUCUGUAUUGCAUUGCAUCACUCAAAGGUUCAAUAACUGAAGAAGUCAACUAAUUAGAAUCCUGCAAGUUUCUUAGCAAUGUAUAAGAAAGGUUUCUAGAAAUUAAGAGUGAGAGAUUGAGCUGAGAUAUAUAUACAUUAAUUGGCAAAUAAGAAAUGCAGAGGUUGGUCCUUAUAAAGAUUUUUGUAGACUUGAAAAUCACGCACACAUUCUUUCCAGUUCUAUUAUUGCUUCAAUCUCAAGCUAUUAACUCCCAAGACUUAAGAUUGACGCACUUCCCCUUUUAAAACUCAAUUAAAAUUUAACAAUCUCAAAAUCAAAUCAAAUAUAUAAUUUUGUUGUAUCGUAAAAUUUUAAAAUGUAAGUCCAUAAGAAACCAAAUUUAU